Molecule: ribosomal RNA, 445 nt
Filed under: uncultured bacterium
Lineage: Bacteria
Description: partial 16S ribosomal RNA
Rfam family: Bacterial small subunit ribosomal RNA
Source: RNAcentral
GUGAGGAAUAUUGCGCAAUGGAGGCAACUCUGACGCAGCCAUGCCGCGUGCAGGAAGAAGGCGCUACGCGUUGUAAACUGCUUUUAACCGGGAAGAAACCCCAGGACGUGUCCUGGGUUGACGGUACCGGAGGAAUAAGCACCGGCUAACUUCGUGCCAGCAGCCGCGGUAAUACGAAGGGUGCAAGCGUUAUCCGGAUUCAUUGGGUUUAAAGGGUGCGUAGGCGGAGCGUUAAGUCAGUGGUGAAAUCCUGCAGCUUAACUGUAGACUUGCCAUUGAUACUGGUGCUCUUGAGUGCGCUUGAAGUGGGCGGAAUGUGCCGUGUAGCGGUGAAAUGCUUAGAUAUGGCACAGAACACCAAUUGCGAAGGCAGCUCACUAAGGCGAUACUGACGCUGAGGCACGAAAGCGUGGGGAUCGAACAGGAUUAGAUACCCCUGUAGUCC